CAGAAAAGUGGGUAAUGAGAGAAAGGGGAAGACAAAGGUAAUCAAAGCCAGGAAUCGAACCUGCGACGGCCGCGUUCAGGACCAAGGCCUCCAUAGGUGGGUUGUGCUUAACCCCUGCGCCGCCACAGCACCCAUUCUGCCACCUUUCUAAAACAAAACGAAGGUUCUUCCUGAUGUUUAGAAUACAGUUUCACACACUGCCAAGAGCAUUUUCCUCCCGUCUGCUGUGCCAACACAAUCUGCAUGCUGUAUACUCCCAGUCGGGAAUGUCAAGGUUGUCUCAUUUCUUUCCCUUGCCCUGACAUCAGCAGGUCUCUUUAUGAAACAAAUGUUGCCUCUGCAAAACUCCCAUUGACCGUUCGUUUCCUCUAUUGACGUAUUUGGAUGAGAAGGUAGUGAUAAAGGAAGAGGCCAGCUUCUGUCAAGGUGAGGAUGCUUUUUUCUUUUAUUUUCUUUUUUGGUAGUCCAGCAGAGGUGAGGGCCUGUGAAAUGAGCUUAUCUGACCCCUGAUAAGAACAGGAUACCCUCAGGAAUGGCCUAAAUUCAAUACAUAUGGCUUGCCCUGGGAUGCAGUUGUUUGGAAAGGAGAAUUACUGUAGAAGCAAACGGUCUUACAUAGAAGACCAUGGUAUCUAUCUCUAGGCGAGUAAAAUGUUUGCUUUAUGUUCCUGUAAUCCCCCAAAAAAGUCAUCUAGAGAAUGAUUCCAAUCAGCAACCUCAGCUCCUAAAUCAUUUAGUCAGGUCUUCUGCCACACAGGAAGCCGUCUUAUUACCUCUGGAAGCAGCACAAAGAUUUACUGAGCUCAUGUUUGAUGACAGCACACAACAAAGGAGCCAUACUUGUGUGUAUGUGGGGGUGUGCGUGCGGGUGUGCUUGUGUGCCAAAUCGUGUCGGUUUAAACCUGAGCUGUUUGCAUGCAAAAACAAAUCACUUUCGCAUUCUCUUAAUGUCUGGAUCCAAACAGGACGCGUCACGUCUUGUUCUCUUUAUUUGGACUCAAACAACCUCUUAGUCACCGUCUGCUGCAUCGGAUACAGUUUCCUUCCCUACAUCAGUCGUCAUGUCAAUUUAAUUGCCAAAUUGAUUUGUUGUUGACUACUGAACCAGCCCUGAGAUGAGCAAUAGGGCCCCAAGUGGACAAGCUGGUCUGGUUGGGCUUCAGUCAGAAAAUCAAAACUAAAGAACAAUGUCAUUGACAAAAGGAAAGGAGGUGGAUUAGUGGUGCUUUCCAACAGCUGAUGUCGUCCAGGACAUGAUACAGUGGAAAAUUGUCUGCUGCCUGAAAAUUGAGCUGUUAGCAUCUCAUGACAGUCAACAGAUAGCAACGCCCCUCAAUCAAAGUCAUUGCAGGACCGACCACUACCGAAAAUCCUUGGCACCCACAUCAUCAUUGUCCACAAUGACGAUCUGAAGAUGACAGAAAGCAAGGAGAGCACUAAACAGAAGUAAUUUGCCGAACACCAGCAGAGCCGAGAAAUCAUCAGCACCGAGCUGACGGCUUCCCUCCGACAGGGUCCGCUUCAGGGCUCUGGUGUUAUCAGUCUGAGUCACUUCACAUAAAUCAAAGUGCCUUCCACUGCCGUGACUGCUUCUCCCAUCUGCAGCCAGCACAUCUGGCUGCAGAUGGGAGAAACUGCUUCGGCCGGAGCUGCGCACAAAUCACAACUCUCGUGGAAUGUCAUGUCCACGCCGCAGCCAGCCUUCUGCGAGGACAAGACGCAGACGGGUCGAGUAGCGGAGACAGACUGCACGUCAACCUUGCCUUGUGGCUUCUGUCUGACAGAUUCUGUCUUCCCUGUUUAGCUAAUAAAAGCGGCGGGUGGCUUGAAUCAGACUCUCACAUAAACACUGAACUCAAUUGUGGAUGUGCUGUGUAAGCUGUGCUUCAGAAGCACGUACUUAUGGCUGACUGGGUUUAUUUUUUUUGCCGCUUAUCUGAAGAGAGACACUGGUCUGUAUUUGCAUGAGACGGUGUGUGGCUGUACCAUGUGUGGUCAAGCUGGAGAGAAUGACAAUCCCUCUGGACCAUUUAGAUUUCAAACUCUCAUGUGCAGCAUCGACUUGUGUCCACACUGUCACCUUGAACGUUCGCUGAACAUCAAAAUAAAACACCUUUAACUUUCCAACGGACCUUGUCUGCGAACGUUCAGCCAACAUCUGGCCAACGUCCAGCCAGUGUUCACUGUUGAUGUUUCAUUUUGCCCUUUGCCGAAUGUUGUCUGCAGUCGUUGAAAGUUUGCAGACAACACUUUGCCGAACGUCAUAUUGGCCUGGAUUAAUGACAUUGAAGACUAUGAAGGCAAAUGUAUUGAUAGAAAAAUAACACUUUAUUCUACUAUACAUGAAUGUACAUAGGAGAUAUCAUCAGUAAAACGUUCAUCCGAAAAAUACUGCUUAAGAGUAUCAAUUUUAAUGCAGUAGGUUUUGGAAUAAAGAAUGCAUAAAAAUAAUGAUAAGAGGAAGAAGAAGAAGAAAUAACUGAGAAAAUGUCAGCAUUUUAAAACAUCCAUUACUUAGAUAAAUACCAUAUGAUAUUUCCAAAACCUUAAUGCUGUGACGAUACAUACGUUUACUGUUGGCUGAUCUAAAAUUAUUUUUUUAAAUUGGCAAGAAAUAAAGAAAAUCAUUCUUAUCUACCAAUCUGGAAAGAGCUACAGAGCUAUUUUUGAAGUUUGGGGGAUCCAACAAACCACAUUAAGCCAACAAGUGGCUAAAACAGGAACAGUGGAGAAAGAUGUGGCAGGUGUCUGAACCACCAAAAUUAUUCCAAAAAUUUAUCUUUUUCUAAUAAUGAAACUCGUUUGAUGAUCCAAAACGUUUAAGUCUGACAAAAAGAUCAAAACAGAGGAAACGUGUAAGGGGGCAAAUAACUUUUUCAAGUCAGAUUGCAUAGAGAUUUUUGAGGAUUACAUUGUAUUUAGUUCCAUCUCUGUCCAUCUUCCUUCCCUGCUGAAUAAAGGCAUCCCUACACAAUGA
Long non-coding RNA from Xiphophorus hellerii (green swordtail), 2977 nucleotides. RefSeq lists it as uncharacterized. The transcript is spliced from 2 exons. Lineage: Eukaryota; Metazoa; Chordata; Actinopteri; Cyprinodontiformes; Poeciliidae. The record is from RefSeq and is a predicted model, not a curated record.